GAUGAACGCUGGCGGCGUGCUUAACACAUGCAAGUCGAACGAGAAGUGAAGACGGAAACCUUCGGGCGGAAGGCUUUAUUUCGAGUGGCGGACGGGUGAGUAACGCGUGGGUAACCUGCCUCAUACAGGGGGAUAACAGUUGGAAACGACUGUUAAUACCGCAUAAGACCACAGCACCGCAUGGUGCGGGGGUAAAAACUCCGGUGGUAUGAGAUGGACCCGCGUUCGAUUAGCCAGUUGGCGGGGUAACGGCCCACCAAAGCGACGAUCGAUAGCCGAUCUGAGAGGCUGACCGGCCACAUUGGGACUGAGGCACGGCCCAAACUCCUACGGGAGGCAGCAGUGGGGAAUAUUGCACAAUGGGGGAAACCCUGAUGCAGCGACGCCGCGUGAGUGAAGAAGUAUUUCGGUAUGUAAAGCUCUAUCAGCAGGGAAGAAAAUGACGGUACCUGAGUAAGAAGCCCCGGCUAACUACGUG
RNAcentral lists this ribosomal RNA (478 nucleotides) under uncultured bacterium. Its description in RNAcentral is "partial 16S ribosomal RNA". It matches the Rfam family "Bacterial small subunit ribosomal RNA", at positions 28 to 507 of the family's 1533-position model. The record is from RNAcentral.